RNAcentral lists this ribosomal RNA (500 nucleotides) under uncultured bacterium. RNAcentral's name for it is "partial 16S ribosomal RNA". It matches the Rfam family "Bacterial small subunit ribosomal RNA", at positions 28 to 507 of the family's 1533-position model. The record is from RNAcentral.
GACGAACGCUGGCGGCGUGCCUAAUACAUGCAAGUCGUGCGGACCCUGUUGAAAGCUUGCUUUUAAAAGGUUAGCGGCGGACGGGGGAGGAACACGAGGGCAACCUGUCCGUAAGACUGGGAUAACGCCGGGAAACCGGGGCGAAAACAAGACCGUUUUUUUCCCCGCAUGGAGGAAAAAGCAAAGGCGCUUGCGCCUGCCACUUACAGAUGGGCGGGUGGCGCAUUUGGCAGUUGGCGGGGUAACGGCCCACCAAGGCAACGGUGCGUAUGCGACCUGGGAGGGUGGUCGGCCACAUUGGGACUUGGACACGGCCCAAGCCUCUUCGGGGAGCAGCAGUAGGGGAUCUUCCGCAAUGGGCGGAAGGCUGACGGAGCAACGCCGCGUGAGUGGAGAAGGCCUUCGGGUCGGAAAACUCUGUUGCCGGGGAAGAACAAGUGCCGUUCGAACAGGGCGGCGCCUUGACGGUACCCGGACAGAAAGCCACGGCUAACUACGUG